Lycium barbarum (goji berry) is the source of this 1608-nucleotide long non-coding RNA. RefSeq lists it as uncharacterized. The transcript is spliced from 3 exons. NCBI's taxonomy places the organism in Eukaryota, Viridiplantae, Streptophyta, Magnoliopsida, Solanales, Solanaceae. The record is from RefSeq and is a predicted model, not a curated record.
UCCUCAAAAAUUAGACUUCAAAUGAAAAAAAUAAUGAAUUCUUUUUUCUAUCCUCGUUUUUGUGAUAAAACAAAGUUAAGCCCCUAGGUUUGGCUUUAGACCCUAACAGAUUUGAGCCGCUCCUGAUGGGCUAUUAAGCAUGGAAGAGAAAAAUAUGCUAAAGUGGAAGUGUACAGAGUUGCUUUGGCUUGUUGCAUAUGCCACAUAUGGAUCGAGAGAAAUCGGAGGAUUUUCUACGAGGCUAACACUGGUGAAAGAGUAUUAAGGUUGAUUGCUCAAAAAAUUCAUGCCAAGGGUGAAGGACAGGCCAGGAUUUCUGGCCAACUUAGUAGACUGAAUUACUAUCCUUAAUCCUGCUUAGAUUAAGCUUGUUCUGGAUCUGUUGCAGCUAGUAGUUAGACAUGUAUCCACAUAGUUUCUUUGAUUCAGUAGAGGAUGAGAAAUAGGUGGGUUGUUUUAGCCAGUUUGGGUGGGGCUUGUAAAAUUUAUCGUAAAUAUUCCUUGGUAAUACAAAUGUUUAGUUACCCAAAAAAAAUAAAAAAAAAAUAAAAAAAAAAUAUAUAUAUAUAUACAUGUAUCAUGGACAACUUAUUUCUAUUAUAUAUAAACGGGAAGGGAGUACGAACACAGCAACAAAUGAUUGAAUUAAAAGCAACAUAAGUUAUACCACAAACUUGGGCCUAUAUUUGGCUUCUCCUUUAACCACGUGUGCCUUUCAAUUGUCCUAUUUUGGCUUACACGUGGUUACCUCUUUAUUUAUCUAGAACAUCUGGAUUCUAAUCACUUUCAUUUCCCUUGCUUUUUGAAUUUGUGCUAUUCCUAAUCAAGUGUUCCUAUGCCCACUCUCAGCAGCUACUGAGCCUUUUUGUUUUCUUUAUUUGAGAGUCUCUAUUCUUUUCAUUCCUAUGGAAUUUGGGGCUAACUCUUGAGAGAGGUAUGUUAAGGAGUUCUCUUUGUUAAACAUGCUCAAAUGCAGCUAUAUGUGCAAAAAUAGACAAUGAUGGACAAGUCACAGAUAAAAUCUGCAACCAUCUAUUACAGUUCCAUUUCUUAAUUUUAAAUUGUCCAAUCUAAGACCUCUAAUAUUCUUAUCUUGUUAUGCAGUUGCAAGUAUGCCACCACCGGAACAAAUGAUGUGCGGCGUCAUUUGGGGAGUAGUGAUAUAUAUAAGGAAGGUAAAGAUUUCACAGCAGAAGGUUAGAAUAUCAUAUGAUGGGAACAACUUUUGAAGGUGGUUAUUAUUGAAGGCAUUUGAAAGACCACAUAUAUGCAUGUUGUAGCACAUACUGUUGUAUGCGCGAAGUAUUUAUGGUUCCUGGUCACUGUAUUACUAGUUUGAUGAAGAACAAUAUGGUACUAGAUUGCAGAGGAAUAUUGUGGCAGAGAACUGUCUUUCUACCAAGUUAAAGCAUGGGGCCAAGAGUGUCGAUGUUGCACAUCAAAAUGCCUCCUCAAGGAAAAUCAAGUUUGCCAAGUCUAGCCAUUGUUUGAAAGACUAAAAUUAGUAGGUCAUUUGGUUUUGUAAAAUUCUCAACAAAUAGGUGAUAAGAAGACGGUACAAGAUCCGUGUGUAUUGUUAUGACAAUCUCAUCUUUAGAAUUGAAUGCA